AUUGAACGCUGGCGGCAGGCCUAACACAUGCAAGUCGAACGAGUGGCGGACGGGUGAGUAAUGUCUGGGAAAUUGCCCGCUGGAGGGGGAUAACUACUGGAAACGGUAGCCAAUACCGCAUACUUUCGGAUGCGCCCAGAUGGGAUUAGCUAGUAGGUGGGGUAAAGGCUCACCAAGGCGACGAUCCCUAGCUGGUGUGAGAGGACGACCAGCGACACUGGAACUGAGACACGGUCUAGACUCCUACGGUAGGCAGCAGUGGGGAAUAUUGGACAAUGGGAGCAAGCCUGAUGCAGCCAUGCCGCGUGUAUGAAGAAGGCCUUCGGGUUGUAAAGUACUUACAGCGGGGAGGCGUUACCCGCAGAAGAAGCGCCGGCUAACUCCGUGCCAGCAGCCGCGGUAAUAC
This 406-nucleotide ribosomal RNA is filed under the name uncultured bacterium. RNAcentral's name for it is "partial 16S ribosomal RNA". It matches the Rfam family "Bacterial small subunit ribosomal RNA", at positions 30 to 526 of the family's 1533-position model. The record is from RNAcentral.